Molecule: long non-coding RNA, 594 nt
Organism: Rhea pennata
Lineage: Eukaryota; Metazoa; Chordata; Aves; Rheiformes; Rheidae
Exons: 3
Source: RefSeq, a predicted model, not a curated record
GGACAUGGACACCAGCACAGUCCUUGCCUUGCUUGUGUAGCCUCCAGCAGUGGUGCACUCUGGCCUCAUGACCGUCUCCCACAGCGUGGAAGUGGUCCUCCUUUGGUGAGGAGUCAAGUCUGCAGCUUUCUUCUCUAGUGGUGGACUGUCUAGGAUCCAAGAGCUGCGGUGGCUGUUGGGAGGACACUUAAAGUUGGCAUUUGAACAGAAUGAAAACAACCUUUUGGCUAAAUCUGAUGUUGGUUUGGAGGCAUUUGCCAGCUUUCAGCUAAAAACAUGGUUUCGUGAUUGAUAUUUUAAACUGCCUAACAUCUGCUGGAGCUCCUUCAUCACUCUACUGUUGCCUGCAAAUGAUUUACCCAGCUCUUGCAGAGCGUGCCCGUAUCCCCUCCGACAUGCACAGCUUGCUCACAGUCCUGCUCCAUUUUAGACUUCCCCGAUUUUCUGGUGUCUUUGCCCCGAGUAACCUGAGCACUUGCUCACCAUCUUCAACACAGAGGUUGUUGGUUGCACUAGAAAGGCUCUGGACAUGAACUGUGGUAAGUAGAUGUGCAAGGUGAGAAGUAGCUUGUUUGUGUGGAAGAACAUAGAUCA